GCCGUCGAGAAGGGAGAAGCACAGAGAGGAGAAAUCCGAAAAUGGUGAAGUUCCUCAAGCCGAACAAAGCCGUCAUCGUCCUUCAAGGCCGUUACGCCGGUCGGAAGGCGGUCAUCGUUCGCGCCUUCGACGACGGAACUCGGGAUCGGGCUUAUGGCCACUGCUUAGUCGCCGGAAUAAAAAAGUACCCGGCCAAGGUCAUCCGCAAGGACUCAGCCAAGAAGACCGCUAAGAAAUCCCGAGUCAAGGCCUUCAUCAAGCUCGUCAACUACAGGCACCUGAUGCCCACCAGGUACACUCUCGAUGUCGAUCUUAAAGACGUCGUCACUAUCGAUUCCUUGCAAUCCAAGGACAAGAAGGUCACCGCCGCCAAGGAGACCAAGAAGAGGUUCGAGGAA
Molecule: unclassified non-coding RNA, 398 nt
Filed under: Hevea brasiliensis (rubber tree)
Lineage: Eukaryota; Viridiplantae; Streptophyta; Magnoliopsida; Malpighiales; Euphorbiaceae
Source: RNAcentral